UUAAUAUAUUAAAUUAAACCACUAACCCAAGCUAGCUUGGAUAUGAUGGAAACCUCUCGUAGAGUAAAAGGGUAAAAGCUCAUUUGAUCUUGAUUUCCAGUAGAAAUAUAAACUACGAAAACAUGUCAUAUUGAUCCUUUUCAAUUUCUGUCAGAAAAG
Molecule: non-coding RNA, 159 nt
Filed under: Brugia pahangi
Lineage: Eukaryota; Metazoa; Nematoda; Chromadorea; Rhabditida; Onchocercidae
Description: Eukaryotic large subunit ribosomal RNA
Rfam family: Eukaryotic large subunit ribosomal RNA
Source: Rfam by way of RNAcentral